AGAGUUCGUUCCUGGCUCAGGAUGAACGCUAGCUACAGGCUUAACACAUGCAAGUCGAGGGGCAGCAUGGUCUUAGCUUGCUAAGGCCGAUGGCGACCGGCGCACGGGUGAGUAACACGUAUCCAACCUGCCGUCUACUCUUGGACAGCCUUCUGAAAGGAAGAUUAAUACAAGAUGGCAUCAUGAGUCCGCAUGUUCACAUGAUUAAAGGUAUUCCGGUAGACGAUGGGGAUGCGUUCCAUUAGAUAGUAGGCGGGGUAACGGCCCACCUAGUCUUCGAUGGAUAGGGGUUCUGAGAGGAAGGUCCCCCACAUUGGAACUGAGACACGGUCCAAACUCCUACGGGAGGCAGCAGUGAGGAAUAUUGGUCAAUGGGCGAGAGCCUGAACCAGCCAAGUAGCGUGAAGGAUGACUGCCCUAUGGGUUGUAAACUUCUUUUAUAAAGGAAUAAAGUCGGGUAUGCAUACCCGUUUGCAUGUACUUUAUGAAUAAGGAUCGGCUAACUCCGUGCCAGCAGCCGCGGUAAUACGGAGGAUCCGAGCGUUAUCCGGAUUUAUUGGGUUUAAAGGGAGCGUAGAUGGAUGUUUAAGUCAGUUGUGAAAGUUUGCGGCUCAACCGUAAAAUUGCAGUUGAUACUGGAUAUCUUGAGUGCAGUUGAGGCAGGCGGAAUUCGUGGUGUAGCGGUGAAAUGCUUAGAUAUCACGAAGAACUCCGAUUGCGAAGGCAGCCUGCUAAGCUGCAACUGACAUUGAGGCUCGAAAGUGUGGGUAUCAAACAGGAUUAGAUACCCUGGUAGUCCACACGGUAAACGAUGAAUACUCGCUGUUUGCGAUAUACGGCAAGCGGCCAAGCGAAAGCGUUAAGUACUCCACCUGGGGAGUACGCCGGCAACGGUGAAACUCAAAGGAAUUGACGGGGGCCCGCACAAGCGGAGGAACAUGUGGUUUAAUUCGAUGAUACGCGAGGAACCUUACCCGGGCUUGAAUUGCACUCGGAUAUAGCGGAAACGUUAUAGCUAGCAAUAGCGAGUGUGAAGGUGCUGCAUGGUUGUCGUCAGCUCGUGCCGUGAGGUGUCGGCUUAAGUGCCAUAACGAGCGCAACCCUUGUUGUCAGUUACUAACAGGUUCUGCUGAGGACUCUGACAAGACUGCCAUCGUAAGAUGUGAGGAAGGUGGGGAUGACGUCAAAUCAGCACGGCCCUUACGUCCGGGGCUACACACGUGUUACAAUGGGGGGUACAGAGGGCCGCUACCACGCGAGUGGAUGCCAAUCCCCAAAACCUCUCUCAGUUCGGACUGGAGUCUGCAACCCGACUCCACGAAGCUGGAUUCGCUAGUAAUCGCGCAUCAGCCACGGCGCGGUGAAUACGUUCCCGGGCCUUGCACUCACCGCCCGUCA
This 1398-nucleotide ribosomal RNA is filed under the name uncultured bacterium. RNAcentral describes it as "16S ribosomal RNA". It matches the Rfam family "Bacterial small subunit ribosomal RNA". The record is from RNAcentral.